GACGAACGCUGGCGGCGUGCUUAACACAUGCAAGUCGAACGGAAAGGCCCUGCUUUUGUGGGUUGCUCGAGUGGCGAACGGGUGAGUAACACGUGAGUAACCUGCCCUUGACUUUGGGAUAACUUCAGGAAACUGGGGCUAAUACCGGAUAGGAGCUCCUGCUGCAUGGUGGGGGUUGGAAAGUUUCGGCGGUUGGGGAUGGACUCGCGGCUUAUCAGCUUGUUGGUGGGGUAGUGGCUUACCAAGGCUUUGACGGGUAGCCGGCCUGAGAGGGUUACCGGCCACAUGGGGACUGAGAUAGGGCCCAGACUCCUACGGGAGGCAGAAGUGGGGAAUAUUGAAGAAUGGGCGGAAGCCUGAUGCAGCAACGCCGCGUGCGGGAUGACGGCCUUCGGGUUGUAAACCGAUGUCGCAUGUGACGAAGCGUGAGUGACGGUAAUGGGUAAAGAAGCACCGGCUAACUACGUG
Molecule: ribosomal RNA, 468 nt
Filed under: uncultured bacterium
Lineage: Bacteria
Description: partial 16S ribosomal RNA
Rfam family: Bacterial small subunit ribosomal RNA
Source: RNAcentral